UCCUUGGUGCUCCAGUGUUUAGGACUCCACGCUUCCAUCGCUGGGGGCCCAGGUUCAAUUCCUGGUUGGGGAA
Molecule: transfer RNA, 73 nt
Filed under: Bos taurus (domestic cattle)
Lineage: Eukaryota; Metazoa; Chordata; Mammalia; Artiodactyla; Bovidae
Rfam family: tRNA
About the family: Transfer RNA (tRNA) molecules are approximately 80 nucleotides in length. Their secondary structure includes four short double-helical elements and three loops (D, anti-codon, and T loops).
Source: Rfam by way of RNAcentral